AGGAUGAACGCUGGCGGCGUGCCUAAAACAUGCAAGUCAUACGGUCUACCUUCGGGUAGACAGUGGCAAACGGGUGAGUAACACGUGGGAACACGCCUUCGAGUGGGGAAUAACGCUGAGAAAUCAGUGCUAAUACCGCAUAUGGUCUAACGACUAAAGCAGUAAUGCGCUCGGAGAGUGGCCCGCGUCCGAUUAGCUAGUUGGUGGGGUAAUGGCCUACCAAGGCGGUGAUCGGUAGCUGGUCUGAGAGGAUGGUCAGCCACACUGGGACUGCGAACGGCCCAGACUCCUACGGGAGGCAGCAGUUAGGAAUUUUCGGCAAUGGACGAAAGUCUGACCGAGCGACGCCGCGUGGAGGACGAAGCCUUUCGGGGUGUAAACUCCUUUUCUGCGGGAAGAUAAUGACGGUACCGCAGGAAUAAGCACCGGCUAACUACGCGCCAGCAGCCGC
RNAcentral lists this ribosomal RNA (451 nucleotides) under uncultured bacterium. Its description in RNAcentral is "SSU rRNA". It matches the Rfam family "Bacterial small subunit ribosomal RNA", at positions 26 to 518 of the family's 1533-position model. The record is from RNAcentral.